RNAcentral lists this ribosomal RNA (1306 nucleotides) under Daphnia magna. RNAcentral's name for it is "bacterial LSU rRNA". It matches the Rfam family "Bacterial large subunit ribosomal RNA", at positions 1280 to 2471 of the family's 2925-position model. The record is from RNAcentral. Lineage: Eukaryota; Metazoa; Arthropoda; Branchiopoda; Diplostraca; Daphniidae.
GUGUGCGAGUGAGAAUGCAGGCAUGAGUAGCGAAUGCAGAGUGAGAACCUCUGCCGCCGAAUGACCAAGGGUUCCUGGGCCAGGUUAAUCCGCCCAGGGUGAGCCGGGACCUAAGGCGAGGCCGACAGGCGUAGUCGAUGGACAACGGGUUGAUAUUCCCGUGCCCGUGAUAGUGCGUCCGUGCCGAGUCCGGUGAUGCUAACCAUCCGAACCCGCCUACGACCCUUCGGGGUUGUUUGUUGGGGGAGCGUGGGAUCCGAUCCGGUAGUAGGCAAGCGAUGGGGUGACGCAGGAGGGUAGCUCCGCCAGGCGUUGGUUGUCCUGGUGCAAGCCGGUAGCCCGAUGCCCAGGUAAAUCCGGGUGUCAUGAAGGGUGAGAGGUGAUGCGUAGCCGAUUGAGGCGAAGCAGAGUGAUCCCAUGCUGCCGAGAAAAGCCUCUAGCGAGUGCUGUUGCGGCCCGUACCCCAAACCGACACAGGUGGUCAGGUAGAGAAUACUAAGGCGAUCGAGUGAACUGUGGUUAAGGAACUCGGCAAAAUACCUCCGUAACUUCGGGAGAAGGAGGACCAUCUGCUGUGAAGCCCUUCGCGGGCUAGCGGUGGGUGGUCGCAGAGACCAGGCCCAAGCGACUGUUUACUAAAAACACAGGUCCGUGCGAAGUCGCAAGACGAUGUAUACGGACUGACGCCUGCCCGGUGCUGGAACGUUAAGAGGACCUGUUAGUCCCCUCGGGGGCGAAGCGGAGAAUUUAAGCGCCAGUAAACGGCGGUGGUAACUAUAACCAUCCUAAGGAAGCGAAAUUCCUUGUCGGGUAAGUUCCGACCUGCACGAAUGGCGUAACGACUUGGGCGCUGUCUCGACCACAGACUCGGCGAAAUUGCACUACGAGUAAAGAUGCUCGUUACGCGCGGCAGGACGGAAAGACCCCGGGACCUUUACUACAGCUUGGUAUUGGUGCUCGGUUCGGCUUGUGUAGGAUAGGUGGGAGACUGUGAAGCGGCCACGCCAGUGGUUGUGGAGUCGUUGUUGAAAUACCACUCUGGUCGAAUUGGGUGUCUCAACCUCGGGCCAUGAUCUGGUUCAGGGACAGUGCCUGGUGGGUAGUUUAACUGGGGCGGUUGCCUCCCAAAAUGUAACGGAGGCGCCCAAAGGUUCCCUCAGCCUGGUUGGCAAUCAGGUGUUGAGUGUAAGUGCACAAGGGAGCUUGACUGUGAGACCGACAGGUCGAGCAGGGACGAAAGUCGGGACUAGUGAUCCGGCACCACCUGGUGGAAGGGGUGUCGCUCAACGGAUAAAAGGUACCCCGG